Molecule: ribosomal RNA, 406 nt
Filed under: uncultured bacterium
Lineage: Bacteria
Description: partial 16S ribosomal RNA
Rfam family: Bacterial small subunit ribosomal RNA
Source: RNAcentral
AUUGAACGCUGGCGGCAGGCCUAACACAUGCAAGUCGAGCGAGCGGCGGACGGGUGAGUAAUGUCUGGGAAACUGCCUGAUGGAGGGGGAUAACUACUGGAAACGGUAGCUAAUACCGCAUACCCUCAGAUGUGCCCAGAUGGGAUUAGCUAGUAGGUGGGGUAAUGGCUAACCUAGGCGACGAUCCCUAACUGGUCGGAGAGGAUGACCAGCCACAUUGGAACUGAGACACGGUCCAGACUCCUCCGGGAGGCAGCAGGGGGGAAUAUGGCAACAGGGGCGCAAGCCUGAUGCAGCCAUGCCGCGUGUGUGAAGAAGGCCUUAGGGUUGUAAAACACGUUCAGCGGGGAGUCGUUACCCGAAGAAGAAGCACCGGCUAACUCCGUGCCAGCAGCCGCGGUAAUAC